GGGUUGUGAGGUUAAGCGACUAAGCGUACACGGUGGAUGCCCUGGCAGUCAGAGGCGAUGAAGGACGUGCUAAUCUGCGAUAAGCGCCGGUAAGGUGAUAUGAACCGUUAUAACCGGCGAUUUCCGAAUGGGGAAACCCAGUGUGAUUCGUCACACUAUCAUUAACUGAAUCCAUAGGUUAAUGAGGCGAACCGGGGGAACUGAAACAUCUAAGUACCCCGAGGAAAAGAAAUCAACCGAGAUUCCCCCAGUAGCGGCGAGCGAACGGGGAGGAGCCCAGAGCCUGAAUCAGCAUGUGUGUUAGUGGAAGCGUCUGGAAAGGCGCGCGAUACAGGGUGACAGCCCCGUACACAAAAGCGCAUGUGCUGUGAGCUCGAUGAGUAGGGCGGGACACGUGGUAUCCUGUCUGAAUAUGGGGGGACCAUCCUCCAAGGCUAAAUACUCCUGACUGACCGAUAGUGAACCAGUACCGUGAGGGAAAGGCGAAAAGAACCCCGGCGAGGGGAGUGAAAAAGAACCUGAAACCGUGUACGUACAAGCAGUGGGAGCACAGGUUUACCUGUGUGACUGCGUACCUUUUGUAUAAUGGGUCAGCGACUUAUAUUCUGUAGCAAGGUUAACCGUAUAGGGGAGCCGUAGGGAAACCGAGUCUUAACCGGGCGUUAAGUUGCAGGGUAUAGACCCGAAACCCGGUGAUCUAGCCAUGGGCAGGUUGAAGGUUGGGUAACACUAACUGGAGGACCGAACCGACUAAUGUUGAAAAAUUAGCGGAUGACCUGUGGCUGGGGGUGAAAGGCCAAUCAAACCGGGAGAUAGCUGGUUCUCCCCGAAAGCUAUUUAGGUAGCGCCUCGUGAAUUCAUCUCCGGGGGUAGAGCACUGUUUCGGCUAGGGGGCCAUCCCGGCUUACCAACCCGAUGCAAACUGCGAAUACCGGAGAAUGUUAUCACGGGAGACACACGGCGGGUGCUAACGUCCGUCGUGAAGAGGGAAACAACCCAGACCGCCAGCUAAGGUCCCAAAGUCAUGGUUAAGUGGGAAACGAUGUGGGAAGGCCCAGACAGCCAGGAUGUUGGCUUAGAAGCAGCCAUCAUUUAAAGAAAGCGUAAUAGCUCACUGGUCGAGUCGGCCUGCGCGGAAGAUGUAACGGGGCUAAACCAU
Molecule: ribosomal RNA, 1159 nt
Filed under: Salmonella enterica
Lineage: Bacteria; Pseudomonadati; Pseudomonadota; Gammaproteobacteria; Enterobacterales; Enterobacteriaceae
Also listed under: 4 other names
Description: partial 23S ribosomal RNA
Rfam family: Bacterial large subunit ribosomal RNA
Source: RNAcentral